GCAGGUGCAGUGGAUGGAUGAAUACAGAGUUCCAGAGAGCGGCAGAGACCAGACCAAGUCCCAGAACGACACACUAUUCCCGGACAGUGAUGGCAGAACAGCAGGUGCAGUGGAUGGAUGAAUAAAGAGCUCCAGAGAGCGGCAGAGACCAGACCAAGUCCCAGAACGACACACUAUUCCCGGACAGUGAUGGCAGACCAGCAGGUGUACCGCAUGGAUGAAUAAAGAGCUCCAGAGAGCGGCAGAUACCAGACCAAGUCCCAGAACGACACACUAUUCCCGGACAGUGAUGGCAGACCAGCAGGUGUACCGCAUGGAUGAAUAAAGAGCUCCAGAGAGCGGCAGAGACCAGACCAAGUCCCAGAACGACACACUAUUCCCGGACAGUGAUGGCAGAACAGCAGGUGUACCCGCAUGGAUGAAUACAGAGUUCCAGAGAGCGGCAGAACCCAGACCAUGUCCCAGUACGGGACACUAUUCUCGGAUGCUGAUGUCAGAACAGCAGGUGCAGUGGAUGGAUGAAUUAAACAGUUCCAGAGAGCGUGAGAUCCCGGCUGAUAUCCGAUGAAGAAGCGCUAUUGUCGGACACUGAUGGCAGAACAGCAGGUGCAGCGGAUGGAUGAAAUAAACAGUUCCAUGGAGCGGUAUUUCCCGACAGAUAUCCGAUGACGAAGGACCACUUGGGACGCUUUGAAGGAAGGGUCGGUCUCCUGGAUGAAAAGGACUUUAAUUUUCUGACUUAAAAAAAAAGUUAAAGUUUCCAGUCGGGACGAUAAGGAGGGCAAAAAAACCCGGACUUUUUUGGCUCCGUCAGAAACUAAGUAAAAGUCGGACUAUGUG
Molecule: long non-coding RNA, 840 nt
Organism: Gasterosteus aculeatus aculeatus (three-spined stickleback)
Lineage: Eukaryota; Metazoa; Chordata; Actinopteri; Perciformes; Gasterosteidae
Source: Ensembl